Molecule: small nuclear RNA, 100 nt
Organism: Cercocebus atys (sooty mangabey)
Lineage: Eukaryota; Metazoa; Chordata; Mammalia; Primates; Cercopithecidae
Source: Ensembl
GUGCCCAUUUUGGCAGCACACAUACUAAAAUUGGAAAGAUACAGAGAAGAUUAGCAUGCCCCUGUGCAAGGAUGACAAGCAAAAGUGAGAAAUUAUUUUU